Molecule: long non-coding RNA, 1619 nt
Organism: Panicum virgatum (switchgrass)
Lineage: Eukaryota; Viridiplantae; Streptophyta; Magnoliopsida; Poales; Poaceae
Exons: 3
Source: RefSeq, a predicted model, not a curated record
UAGCAAAUUGCUGAUGCUGUGUACUGAACUUGUUUUGUUAGUUUCACAGACUUUGAACGUGAUCUCUUUUUUUUUAUUGUAGUCAACACUUCUCAUGUGCUUAAAGAGAUUGACUGCCUAAAUAGAUUGAGCACUGCAUUCUAAACUGAAAUCAUGUUUUAUUCUAGUGAUCCCUUAGCCAUAGGUCUUAUCCUUUGUUGUUAAAUAAUAAAUAUGAAUUCCUAGGAAGCUAUCUUUGUUGUUAAAUACUUGAUGUUAACUUGUUCAAGUUUUUAUGUUGUAUUUGUGAAGUAAAAUCUUUAGAAAAUGGUUGAAUGUGACAAUAUCCACCCUCUUAUCCGUGAGAAUGGAACUGCAAUGAUCAAGGUCAAGAACCGGCUUUUAUCCUCCUUUUCUUCUCUAGAACUGGUAAUAGCAAUCUUUUCUAAUAUCUCAUAGCAUGUAUUGACAUAGUUAUACCACGAUAUGCAAAAAUGUACUAGAAAUAUUCUGUACAUGAAUUUUAUGCUACUCUUUCUGAAUUAAGCAAUAAAAGAAUCGAGUUCCACAAAACUAUGAACUUUGCGAAUACACCAUGUGUCACUGUAAAUGCACAAAUAGCUAUACCUAAAAUCCUGACUACUCUUCAAGGUUUGUUUUUAAUAUUUCGAAAUUGAUUGAUUUAUCAAUUCCUGUUGUCGUUUGUGGCUGAAAUGUUGUUUUAGGCUAGUUCCUUUCAGGUUCCUUCUGCAUGUCUCGCAAGUGUUAGUACUUCACUGAAAUUAUUUUUGGAAAAUCAAAAUUAGCUUGUAUAGAUGCCAGAUGCUUCUUAUUUUUAUUAUUCAAUAGAUUCAGUGAUAAGACUGAGUGCUUCUCUUGUGCAGAUCAAUUAUGAUUCUACAUGGAAGUCUGAAGUGCCGCAUCUGCGAAGACCUACAUUGUAAGGCAAUCUGACCAGGAACUGAAUGAAGUUCACAACACAGGCUUUCAGUGUCCAAUCGCUAGCCACGGUCCUGUCGCGUGAGAAGAUGCUGGCCCAUGACAUCAUUCUUAUUAUGCGCAACUUUUCAGGCUAGAAGCAGAUGAAGAAAGAAUUUUGAAAGAAGAUCAAGCUUAUGAAGGUGGAUCUGAAAGGAAUCAAGGGAAAGAUAUGUGAUGGUUCUGACCCAUAGAUGUCAGGCUCACCUGGUAAUGGUUUCUGUGCUUUGGCUCUGUCAAGAUGACAUUGCGGACACCUGCAUCGAAUACAGCAUCUGAAUGUUUACAGAUCCUCAGGAAAGCGAUUAUUUCAGGAUACUUAGCCCAUUUCUUCUUCAGCUCCUUGCCAUGGAGCUAAAAAGGCCAGUAGUGAACAAACAUAUAAGUAGCUGCAUGGUUGGAUAGCUGGUGAUAGUUCAGCUCAACCAAACACUCUUAGUGGACAAGAUUGCUUUGGGACGGAAAACCCUUGUAGGAUGUUGUUCCUUUAUCUUUUUUCAGAUUCAGAUACAUUCAGUUAAUUCAUUGCUUGCUGCCCGACCUUGUAGUCUAGAACUAGUUGAUCUCACUUUAUGUAAAGUGUAUAAUAGAUGAAACAUGUAUACUUGUGAUGCAUAUGAUGGAUAAGAUAUGUGUAUUAAUAAGAUAUAUUGUAUGCCUUA